Molecule: long non-coding RNA, 205 nt
Filed under: Linum usitatissimum (flax)
Lineage: Eukaryota; Viridiplantae; Streptophyta; Magnoliopsida; Malpighiales; Linaceae
Description: long non-coding RNA (LUSI_LNC004929)
Source: RNAcentral
CAUAAUAUCUCUAUCUUUCUCUUUUUUCAUUUGACUUUCCAGUAUAGCUAUUAUAUCUAUAUUGUAUCUAUUUAGACACGAAACUAUAAAACUAUGCUUCUUAGGAGAAUUAAACCACCGCAGAUUCCACGUGGGCCAAGGACCUGAGCUAAACAACCAGUCGCAUGUAUCCGUGUAGGUGAACUAAAACAAGAAGAGUUCGUUA